CCUACGGGAGGCAGCAGUAAGGAAUAUUGGACAAUGGGCGGAAGCCUGAUCCAGCCAUGCCGCGUGCAGGAAGAAGGCCCUAUGGGUUGUAAACUGCUUUUGCAGGGGAGAAAUGAGGUUGAUUUAUCGACCGAUGAUAGUACUCUGCGAAUAAGCAUCGGCUAACUUCGUGCCAGCAGCCGCGGUAAGACGAAGGAUGCGAGCGUUAUCCGGAUUCACUGGGUUUAAAGGGUGCGUAGGCGGUUUAGUAAGUUUCAAAUAAAAGACUGGUGCUUAACAUCAGGACUGCUUGAAAAACUGCUAGACUGGAGAUAGGUCGGGGUUGCUGAAAUAGGGCAAGUAGAGGUGAAAUUCAUAGAUAUGCCAUAGAACACCGAUAGCGAAGGCAGGCGACGAGGCCUUAUCUGACGCUGAGGCACGAAAGCGUGGGGAUCAAACAGGAUUAGAUCCCUUUGUAGU
RNAcentral lists this ribosomal RNA (459 nucleotides) under uncultured Bacteroidota bacterium. Its description in RNAcentral is "uncultured Bacteroidetes bacterium partial 16S ribosomal RNA". It matches the Rfam family "Bacterial small subunit ribosomal RNA", at positions 338 to 794 of the family's 1533-position model. Lineage: Bacteria; Pseudomonadati; Bacteroidota. The record is from RNAcentral.